GGGAGUCACGCCAGCUCCAACCAGGUCUAGAACCCAAACCUUCAACCCCUGAGCUUUCCUGCCUUCGAGUCCUCGGAGCUCUCCUGGAGGCUGAGCAGGCAACAGAGCCUGCUCCUCAGCUGGAUGUGGCCCGUGGGAGGUGGAGAAACUGAGGCUCAGAUAAAUGACUAAGAAGUAAAGUGAGGUCCCAUAGCCAGUGAAUGGCAGAGCAGGGAUUCGAACCCAGGUCUCUCAUCUGGGAAGUGGGAUGAUAGCGCCAACCUAGCUGGAUUGCUGUGACUGCCAGCACAAUGCCUUCUAAGGGUUCAAGGCUGCCUUUCAGUGACAGGCUGCUGAGGACACCCUAGGCCAGGAGCCACCCCACCUGGCCCACCGAGGCUCUGGACCCUCCCAGGGCUAUUGCUUCUCUGGAGUUGGGUGAUGAACAGAGGGUUGGACCCCCCAAGCCCUGCAUGGGGGUAGAGGCCCUCCCUGAGAAGGACCUCCAGAGCCCAGCUCUGCUCUCCCAGGGUGUGGUUCCAUGGGAGGUGGGCUCCACUGGUCCUAAGCUCUGGGCAGGUUGGCAUCCCCAGAGGGCAAUGCUGACAACACCUCCCUUGGCACCCCCAAGGGUUCGUUUCUCAGCAGCAACUUCCAAAGGCUGUUCCCCCAGGUCUCUGUCCCUUUCCUGAGCCCUCCCCUGUCCUUCUCCAGGCAACCCACAGCCCCAGCAGCCUGUGCACAUUUAGCGCUGGAUCCCUGAUCCCUUGGGCUUGGCCUCACUCCUCUCUGGCUCCAUGCCCCCAGAUCUCUUUGGCAUGACCAACAACUGGCUGGCGAGCCCAGAGAUGGGGGAAGAAGGGCCCUGAGCCAUGAGUGCACCUCACUGCAUGGCCCUGGUCAGGUCCCUCUGCCUCCCGGGGCCUCACUGUGUCCACAGCCUCCUGCACGCCACGAAGCACCUCCCCGAUGUGCCAGCUCCCCCAGCACCAGCCUCAUCCCAAGGAAGGAGGAGGCGACUCCCACUACUCAAGGGGCUGUUCCCCAUGGCACCCCUCAGGCCGCUGCAGGAGACUAUAAGCCCCUCACAACCGAGGCCAUUUUCCCCACUCCCUUCCCCGCAAGCCCUAAAUGGCCCAGCAACAACUCUGAACUCUGAUCUCGGUCAGCCCAGCACGGGUGGGGCAGGAGGUUCUGUCAACAGCGAGAGAAACUCGUUAACUGAAUGUCAAUAGGAUUAAAGGCUCUGAUGGUCC
Molecule: long non-coding RNA, 1235 nt
Filed under: Homo sapiens (human)
Lineage: Eukaryota; Metazoa; Chordata; Mammalia; Primates; Hominidae
Description: non-protein coding lnc-DAGLA-1:11
Source: RNAcentral